Molecule: long non-coding RNA, 335 nt
Filed under: Panax ginseng (ginseng)
Lineage: Eukaryota; Viridiplantae; Streptophyta; Magnoliopsida; Apiales; Araliaceae
Description: long non-coding RNA (PGIN_LNC001153)
Source: RNAcentral
GGUGGUACACGCAAAAAAGAUGUUUUUUGGCCAAAUUUGAGUCCAAGAAGGAUUGUUUCGAUCCAAUUGACCCAAGGACUUCCAAGAGGACUUAAAGACCUGUAAAAAGGCUUAUAAAAGGAGGGGAAUAACAAGGAUUAGAAGGGAGAUUAGAGAGAAAAUAUGAUUCCAUUGAAUUAGAUUAGAGUAGAAUAGGAGAAAACACUAGUUCUAAUUAGAUUUGAAGAUUGAAGCAACUUGGAGACCAUUGAAGAUUCAAAGUAGGAGCAAGGAGGGAGCUUCAAAUCUACAGACAAUAGAUUAUAUCUUCUCAUCUUCUUCUAUCUUUGUCUUUU